Molecule: long non-coding RNA, 2018 nt
Organism: Peromyscus californicus insignis
Lineage: Eukaryota; Metazoa; Chordata; Mammalia; Rodentia; Cricetidae
Exons: 4
Source: RefSeq, a predicted model, not a curated record
AGAGAGGCAGACCACACUCAGCGAUUCUCUCAUCCCACCCAUUUCAGAAGGAGGCUCUCAAAGCUUGACUCUUGAUAGUGGGAAGAAGAGACUCAUGUGCUGGGAAAUUAUCUCCACGUGUCUCCAUUAUAACCAGUAUCUCUCAGCUGGGUUCGCUGUCUGCAUUCACAGACGAAGACAUUUUCACUGGAUCAUGCUUAAUGCUUUCAUGAAGCCCUAAAGAGACUGAAGAGCUUUCUAGAUCAUCAAACGAAUUGUGGAUCCUAUACUUCCAAUUACUGGAUGAAGAGUACUUGAUCGUGGUGGAUAAUCUUUUUGAGGUGUUCUUGGAUUCGGCUUGCAAGUAUUUUAUUGACAAGUUUUUGCAUCUUUAUUCAUAAGGGAAAUUGUUCUAUAAUUUUUUGUUGGGUCUUUGUGUGGUUUGGUAUGAGGAUAAUAGUAGCUUUUUAGUAAGAAUUGGACAACAUUCCUUUAGUUUCUAUUUUGUGAAAUUAUUUGAGGAUUAUUGGCAUUAAUUCUUCUUUGAAGAUCUGGUAGAAUCUGCACUGAAUUCAUCUGGCCUUCUGUUAUUUUUAUUGGAACUUUCAAUUACUGCUUCAACUUUACUAGGGAUAAUGGGAAUAUUUAAAGACUUAUCUAGCCUUGAUUUAACUUUGGGAGAUCAAAUAUACCAAGAAAUUAAUCCAUUUCUCUUUAGGCUUUCCAGUUUGGUAGAGUACAGUUUUUUUUAUAUAUAUAUAAACACUUUAUAUAUAAAGUACCCUCAUGAUUCUCAGAGUUUCCUCAGUGGCUGUUGUAAUGUCUCCCUCUUCAUUUUUAAUUUGUUUAAUUUGGAUCCUCUCUCUCAUAUUUUUGGUAAUUUGAUUACGGGUUUGUCUAUCUUGUUGAUUUUCUCAAAGAACCAACUCUUCUUUUUAUUGAUUCUUUGUAUUAGUUUUUGUUUGUUGUUUCUAUUUCAGUGACAUUAGACCUGAGUUUGAUUAUUUCUUGCCAUCUACUUUUUUUAGUUUAUUAUUUCUUCUUGUUGUUUCAGAGCUUUCAAGUGUGUUGUUAGGUUACUAAUAUGAGACCUCUCCUCCUUCUUCUCCUUUGUAGGCACUUGGUGCUAUGAACUUGCCUCUCAGACCUGUCUUCAUUGUGUCCCAAAUAUUUGGAUAUGUUAUGUUUUCAUUUUCAUUCAAUUCUAAAAUAUUUUUAAUUUUUUGAUUUGUCUUGAUUCAUUUCUCAUUCACUAAUGAGUUCAAUUUCCUUGAGUUUGUAAGCUUUCUGUUGUUUCUGUUAUAGCUUUCCAGCUUUAAUCCCUGGUGGUAAGAUAGGAUGCAGGGUGUUAUUUAAAUUCUUACAUCUGUUGAGACUUGCUUUGUGUCCUAGUAUGUGGUACUUUGGAGGAAGUUCCAUGAGCUGCCGAGAAUAAAGUAUAUUCUCUAGUGUUUGGGUAGAACAUUCUAUAGAUGUCUGGUGGGGACAUUUAAUUUAUAUUGUUUUUUAACUCCAGAAUUUCUCUGUUCAAUUUUUGUCUUAAUGACCUGCUUAUCAGCAAGAAUUGGGUGUUUAAGCCAAUCACAAUCACUGCAUGAGAGUCAAUGUGUGAUUUUAGCUAUAGGAGUUUGUUUUAUGAACUUGGGUACCCUUAUGUUUGGUGCAUUGUUGCUGGAUCCUAAGAGCUCCCUUGGGGAGGAAGGGAUAAGGCGUAGCUUCAAUGAUACAGACACUGGGAGUCAGUUGAAGGCAAACAGCAGACUCGUUUAUUCAAUAACUGGAAAGGCCUUAUUUUAUUAUAAGACCCAAACUAUGUCCCAAUCUGGUGGCAUUGCAUGGUUGUCUCUCAUUGGCUGAGCACAAUCAGGAACUCUGACAGUGAUCAGGAACUCUAACAGCACCUGUUGCUAGGCCCUCAGGCAGACUCCAGGUUGGCUCAUAAGGAAGUACAUCAUGUGCAUGCCUGGGCAACUGGUUGGAGCCAAUUUCCUCUUGCUACAGUACACAGAUGUUAAGAAUUACAAUAUCAUCUUGAUGGA